This 331-nucleotide ribosomal RNA is filed under the name uncultured bacterium. RNAcentral's name for it is "bacterial SSU rRNA". It matches the Rfam family "Bacterial small subunit ribosomal RNA", at positions 8 to 334 of the family's 1533-position model. The record is from RNAcentral.
AGAGUUCGAUUCUGGCUCAGGACGAACGCUGGCGGCGCGCCUAACACAUGCAAGUCGAACGGAGAUGCAUUUAGCUUGCUAGAAGCAUCUUAGUGGCGGACGGGUGAGUAACACGUGAGCAACCUGCCUUUGUGUGGGGGAUAACGUCUGGAAACGGACGCUAAUACCGCAUAAUGCUGAAUUACCGCAUGGUAAUUCAGCCAAAGAUUUAUCGCACAGAGAUGGGCUCGCGGCUGAUUAGCUAGUUGGUGAGGUAACGGCCCACCAAGGCGACGAUCAGUAGCCGGACUGAGAGGUUGAUCGGCCACAUUGGGACUGAGACACGGCCCAG